Molecule: ribosomal RNA, 301 nt
Filed under: uncultured bacterium
Lineage: Bacteria
Description: partial 16S ribosomal RNA
Rfam family: Bacterial small subunit ribosomal RNA
Source: RNAcentral
CAGUAGCCGCGGUAAUACGUAGGUGGCAAGCGUUGUCCGGAAUUAUUGGGCGUAAAGCGCGCGCAGGUGGUUUAAUAAGUCUGAUGUGAAAGCCCACGGCUCAACCGUGGAGGGUCAUUGGAAACUGUUAAACUUGAGUGCAGGAGAGAAAAGUGGAAUUCCUAGUGUAGCGGUGAAAUGCGUAGAGAUUAGGAAGAACACCAGUGGCGAAGGCGGCUUUUUGGCCUGUAACUGACACUGAGGCGCGAAAGCGUGGGGAGCAAACAGGAUUAGAUACCCCGGUAGUCCCUGUCUCUUAUAC